Pseudomyrmex gracilis is the source of this 331-nucleotide long non-coding RNA. RefSeq lists it as uncharacterized. The record is from RefSeq and is a predicted model, not a curated record. The transcript has 3 exons. Lineage: Eukaryota; Metazoa; Arthropoda; Insecta; Hymenoptera; Formicidae.
CAAAGAACCAAGAACGGUGGAUCGUUCCAACAACUCCAAGUGUUGUUCCAAUGCGUUGGAUUCGCUCGGGCGUCACGAGGUGUAAUGCUUCGUUUCUCAUCUCGCAAGGAUCUCUGUUUACAUCAAAGAUACAUGGUGAUGCCGAGAAAUUGCACGGAACCUAAAAAACAUUAUGCAAACUCUAUAAUUUAUUUCGAUCAAGAAAAAUAAGAAAAAUGCAUUUCGCCCGAAGUCUAAUAAAAUCUUCGCCGGUGUCAGUUUAUCAAUUCGAUCGACGCGCUUCUUUCUGAUUUUUGAUAAUCGUCGAUUUGUUCGCACCGAGGUGAUGGCA